GCAUCAAUAGUUCAGGGGUUAGAAUUCGAGCUUCCCAUGCUCGAGAGCGGGGGUAAGUGCUUCUUCAGUCCAAUAUGAUUGGAGUGCACGUCUAACAUUACCAUUAAGUUCGAGUCCCCGUUGAUGCA
Molecule: transfer RNA, 128 nt
Filed under: Opeltia flavorubescens
Lineage: Eukaryota; Fungi; Ascomycota; Lecanoromycetes; Teloschistales; Teloschistaceae
Description: tRNA-Gly (CCC) (tRNA-Gly-CCC-1-1)
Rfam family: tRNA
About the family: Transfer RNA (tRNA) molecules are approximately 80 nucleotides in length.
Source: RNAcentral